GGGGUAGUAAAUUAAGAAACCCAGUUCCUGAUGGCGGUGUGAGCAGAGAAGGGUUGUCGUGGUCAACGUGUUUGAAGAAGACGAUGGACAUUGCAAACGAUGAGGUUUGAGAAUUAAAGUUACAUUUGAUUGUUUAAUUUAAUUAGAUAAGGAUUGAGGACUAAAGCUGCAUCUAAUUUUUUUGGUUCAAUAGCUUUUAAUUUUUAAUUUCAUUUUAAAUUUAGUUUUAAUGAUUUUAAAUUAGUUUUUAUAAAGUUUUUAAUAAUUUAUUCAUGUGGCAAUAUUUAAUAGACUUGUUGGUCCACAUAUGUGUCAAAUCAACAUACUAAUAGAAAUUUGGGUAAAUUACA
RNAcentral lists this long non-coding RNA (350 nucleotides) under Malus domestica (apple). RNAcentral describes it as "long non-coding RNA (MDOM_LNC015035)". Lineage: Eukaryota; Viridiplantae; Streptophyta; Magnoliopsida; Rosales; Rosaceae. The record is from RNAcentral.